GAACGAUGAAGCCCUUCGGGGUGGAUUAGUGGCGAACGGGUGAGUAACACGUGGGCAAUCUGCCCUUCACUCUGGGACAAGCCCUGGAAACGGGGUCUAAUACCGGAUAUCACUCUCGCAGGCAUCUGUGAGGGUCGAAAGCUCCGGCGGUGAAGGAUGAGCCCGCGGCCUAUCAGCUUGUUGGUGAGGUAACGGCUCACCAAGGCGACGACGGGUAGCCGGCCUGAGAGGGCGACCGGCCACACUGGGACUGAGACACGGCCCAGACUCCUACGGGAGGCAGCAGUGGGGAAUAUUGCACAAUGGGCGAAAGCCUGAUGCAGCGACGCCGCGUGAGGGAUGACGGCCUUCGGGUUGUAAACCUCUUUCAGCAGGGAAGAAGCGAAAGUGACGGUACCUGCAGAAGAAGCGCCGGCUAACUACGUGCCAGCAGCCGCGGUAAUACGUAGGGCGCAAGCGUUGUCCGGAAUUAUUGGGCGUAAAGAGCUCGU
This 491-nucleotide ribosomal RNA is filed under the name earthworm burrow bacterium B38M1. RNAcentral's name for it is "bacterial SSU rRNA". It matches the Rfam family "Bacterial small subunit ribosomal RNA", at positions 64 to 572 of the family's 1533-position model. The record is from RNAcentral.